RNAcentral lists this ribosomal RNA (436 nucleotides) under uncultured bacterium. RNAcentral's name for it is "bacterial SSU rRNA". It matches the Rfam family "Bacterial small subunit ribosomal RNA", at positions 30 to 464 of the family's 1533-position model. The record is from RNAcentral.
AUUGAACGCUGGCGGCAGGCCUAACACAUGCAAGUCGAGCGGUAGAGAGGUGCUUGCAUCUCUUGAGAGCGGCGGACGGGUGAGUAAUGCCUAGGAAUCUGCCUAGUGGUGGGGGGAUAACGUUCGGAAACGGACGCUAAUACCGCAUACGUCCUACGGGAGAAAGCGGGGGAUCUUCGGACCUCGCGCCAUUAGAUGAGCCUAGGUCGGAUUAGCUAGUUGGUGAGGUAAUGGCUCACCAAGGCGACGAUCCGUAACUGGUCUGAGAGGAUGAUCAGUCACACUGGAACUGAGACACGGUCCAGACUCCUACGGGAGGCAGCAGUGGGGAAUAUUGGACAAUGGGCGAAAGCCUGAUCCAGCCAUGCCGCGUGUGUGAAGAAAGGUCUUCGGAUUGUAAAGCACUUUAAGUUGGGAGGAAGGGUAGGUAACCUAA